This 20-nucleotide ribosomal RNA is filed under the name Phaeosphaeria pontiformis. Its description in RNAcentral is "partial 28S ribosomal RNA". The record is from RNAcentral. Lineage: Eukaryota; Fungi; Ascomycota; Dothideomycetes; Pleosporales; Phaeosphaeriaceae. RNAcentral also lists the same sequence under 3 other names.
GCAUAUCAAUUAAGCGGAGG